Long non-coding RNA from Camelina sativa (false flax), 1069 nucleotides. RefSeq lists it as uncharacterized. The record is from RefSeq and is a predicted model, not a curated record. NCBI's taxonomy places the organism in Eukaryota, Viridiplantae, Streptophyta, Magnoliopsida, Brassicales, Brassicaceae.
AUCAGAGAAAAGAAUCACCACUUACCUCUUAGCUUCACCGCUUAAUUGGGAUGUCAUCCACCGCCGCCCACACCUUCCUCUCUCUUUCUCCACUGUUCUUUUCCCCUCCUAUUUUGUCUGAUCAGAUACAUGAGCUGAACAUGUAUUCAGCAAAUUUUUCAUCUUUCCUUCAAUAUCUAAAGAGCCCCAAAGCCUCAAAUUUGUCAACGAAGUAAUUGAGUUGAGGAACUCCUAUUUUAUUUGCGACUCUCGACCACGUGAUGGUUAUGUGGAUAUUGGACAGAUUGUGAUUCAAACGUUAGACAAAAUGGUUCAAGUUAUAGCUCUCCCUUAUAGCUCAAGUUGACGACGGGGAUGCAGUUGAUAUUGGAGUGGACAUGCCAUUGAUAUUAUAGCAGCAUCAUUCCAUCUCUAAGACGUUAUCAGGCGGUGACUAUCGAUCCCAGAGAAGUGAAAGAAGCAAAGGAACUGAAGACAGAUGAUCAGAAUUGAGAAUACUGUAAGUACAACUAACCUGGAGUUAAAUAGGAGUAAAUCUUGCCAUGAUCUUUGCUUCUACGUAGUGGUGUUAGUGUCAGUAAUUUACGGGAUUUUGGUUAUAGGAUUAUUAGUAUUUUUCUAGUUUCACCUUCUUGGAAGUGAAUAAAAUACGACAUGUUUUUCAUUAAUAUUUUAAAAAUUACGAAAUAUAUAUACAUAUAGCACUUAAAGAACGACAUUCCGUUUGAUCCUACUAUUCAUGAAACUGAAACUUUAAAUUUGGUUGUUUAACAUUACAAAAGCUAAAAUAAAAUAAGAUAAAGGAUAAUCCAUAAACAAACUUCAUGCUGUUUUCCAAGGUUCCACUGCCACACUCCUUAAACAUGAAAAACAUAAAAUUGACAAUUAGAUAAAUGUAAAGCAAUGUAAUUUUUUAGGUUCAAUAAUUUGUGUUAUAUAAAUAUAUAAGAGUAAUAUAAGUAAAAAUAAUGUAGUACCUGAAUAUGAGUCAUCGUUAUCUUAUUUGUUGAAAAAUCUCCUUAAAAACAACAUUUGUUGUUUUUGUUUCUCUGUUCCCAUCCUCAUCAAC